CACCCAAAUAUCCUCCUAUGGUCAACUAUUCCAUCGAAUUUACGUUCGGGUUCGCCAACAAAACAUUGGCUUUUCUGGUUGUUGGUUCGACAUAAAUUUUGCCUGAAAGUUCCAUUAGAUGUAUGAUCUAGCUCAAUUCAAUUUAACAAAAAUAAAUAAUUUGAACCGUACCAAAAAUACAUGAUAGAUUCAAUAGAUCGAAAAGGAAUCCA
RNAcentral lists this long non-coding RNA (212 nucleotides) under Elaeis guineensis (African oil palm). Its description in RNAcentral is "long non-coding RNA (EGUI_LNC030862)". Lineage: Eukaryota; Viridiplantae; Streptophyta; Magnoliopsida; Arecales; Arecaceae. The record is from RNAcentral.